CCGUGCAGCCGGGGAGAUAGCGGUGCCCUGUACCUGCAAUCCGCUACAGCAGGGGUGAUGUCUUGCCCAGGGUGUUAUACUGUAGGGCAGCCCCUUAUAAGUGAUGUUGACGUUUGGGUCUUACGCAACAGGAAUUCGUGAAUCGUGUCAGGUCAGGAAUGAAGCAGCACUAAGCGAAAGCUCCUGUGUGCCGUGAGGGUGCCUGAGCCGAGUUAACUGUAUGGGUAACGCUUAUGGUAUACAUUCAAAGCAAGACGCACGG
Non-coding RNA from Anaerocolumna xylanovorans DSM 12503, 262 nucleotides. It matches the Rfam family "Bacterial large signal recognition particle RNA". From Rfam's summary of the family: The signal recognition particle (SRP) is a universally conserved ribonucleoprotein involved in the co-translational targeting of proteins to membranes. Archaeal SRP consists of a 7S RNA and homologues of the eukaryotic SRP19 and SRP54 proteins. The record is from Rfam. Lineage: Bacteria; Bacillati; Bacillota; Clostridia; Lachnospirales; Lachnospiraceae.